CAACAGGGAUUGCCUUAGUAACGGCGAGUGAAGCGGCAAUAGCUCAAAUUUGAAAUCUGGCUCUUUUAGAGUCCGAGUUGUAAUUUGUAGAGGAUGUUUCGGCUUACGCCUCGGUCUAAGUUCCUUGGAACAGGACGUCACAGAGGGUGAGAAUCCCGUUUGUGGCCGAUGGCUUCUGCCAUGUGAAACUCCUUCGACGAGUCGAGUUGUUUGGGAAUGCAGCUCUAAAUGGGAGGUAAAUUUCUUCUAAAGCUAAAUAUUGGCCAGAGACCGAUAGCGCACAAGUAGAGUGAUCGAAAGAUGAAAAGCACUUUGGAAAGAGAGUUAAAAAGUACGUGAAAUUGUUGAAAGGGAAGCGCUUGCGACUAGACUUGCCUACAGUUGCUCCAUCGGUCCUUCGACCGGUGUAUUCUUCUGUGGUCAGGCCAGCAUCAGUUCGGGUGGUUGGAUAAAGGCCUUAGGAAUGUGACUCUCUUCGGGGAGUGUUAUAGCCUUCGGUGCAAUACAGCCUGCCUGGACUGAGGACCGCGCUUCGGCUAGGAUGCUGGCGUAAUGGUCGUAAGCGGCCCGUCUUGAAACACGGACCAAGGAGUCUAACAUCUAUGCGAGUGUUUGGGUGUCAAACCCGUGCGCGAAAUGAAAGUGAACGGAGGUGGGAACCUUAGGGUGCACCAUCGACCGAUCCUGAUGUCUUCGGAUGGAUUUGAGUAAGAGCAUAGCUGUUGGGACCCGAAAGAUGGUGAACUAUGCCUGAAUAGGGUGAAGCCAGAGGAAACUCUGGUGGAGGCUCGCAGCGGUUCUGACGUGCAAAUCGAUCGUCAAAUUUGGGUAUAGGGGCGAAAGACUAAUCGAACCAU
Molecule: ribosomal RNA, 857 nt
Filed under: Helicoma multiseptatum
Lineage: Eukaryota; Fungi; Ascomycota; Dothideomycetes; Tubeufiales; Tubeufiaceae
Description: LSU rRNA
Rfam family: Eukaryotic large subunit ribosomal RNA
Source: RNAcentral